This 497-nucleotide ribosomal RNA is filed under the name uncultured bacterium. RNAcentral's name for it is "partial 16S ribosomal RNA". It matches the Rfam family "Bacterial small subunit ribosomal RNA", at positions 28 to 507 of the family's 1533-position model. The record is from RNAcentral.
GACGAACGCUGGCGGCGUGCCUAAUACAUGCAAGUUGAGCGAUGAAGCUUGGUGCUUGCCCCAAUUUGACGAGCAGCGAACGGGUGAGUAACGCGUGGGGAAUCUGCCUUUGAGCGGGGGACAACAUUUGGAAACGAAUGCUAAUACCGCAUAACAACUUUAAACAUAAGUUUUAAGUUUGAAAGAUGCAAUUGCAUCACUCAAAGAUGAUCCCGCGUUGUAUUAGCUAGUUGGUGAGGUAAAGGCUCACCAAGGCGAUGAUACAUAGCCGACCUGAGAGGGUGAUCGGCCACAUUGGGACUCAGACACGGCCCAAACUCCUACGGGAGGCAGCAGUAGGGAAUCUUCGGCAAUGGACGAAAGUCUGACCGAGCAACGCCGCGUGAGUGAAGAAGGUUUUCGGAUCGUAAAACUCUGUUGGUAGAGAAGAACGUUGGUGAGAGUGGAAAGCUCAUCAAGUGACGGUAACUACCCAGAAAGGGACGGCUAACUACGUG